Molecule: ribosomal RNA, 253 nt
Filed under: uncultured bacterium
Lineage: Bacteria
Description: partial 16S ribosomal RNA
Rfam family: Bacterial small subunit ribosomal RNA
Source: RNAcentral
UACGUAGGCAGCGAGCGUUGUUCGGAAUUACUGGGCGUAAAGAGUGUGUAGGCGGUGCUCUAAGUUCGGUGUGAAAUCUCCUGGCUCAACUGGGAGGGUGCGCCGGAAACUGGAGUGCUUGAGCGUGGGAGAGAAAAGCGGAAUUCCUGGUGUAGCGGUGAAAUGCGUAGAUAUCAGGAGGAACACCUGUGGUGUAGACGGCUUUCUGGACCAUAGCUGACGCUGAGACACGAAAGCGUGGGUAGCAAACAGG